UCGCGUGGCUUUGCCGUUGCCGACCUACCGCCCGCCCGCCCGCCCACCCGAACCAGACCCGGCCCGGCCCGGAUCCAGCCCGACCCCACCAGCUCAACUCCCUUUUGAUUUCCAGCGCCCAGCGCGGCGAGGCCGUGUCCGGUUGGCGCCAGGCCUCCCCCACCGCCUCCGCGGCGGCUAUAAAAGGCGCCCAGGCGCACCCUCUCCUCCCCGCGCUCCGGCCCCGUCUCUCGUCCGACCUUUCUCGUUGGUGACGGGCCGCGCCUCCUCGCGUUUGAGCGACUGUUUCCUUCCCCCUUCUUGCCCUCGUCUCGAUUCCUUUCCAAUCGCGUCUGAUUUGAUUUCACUCGCCCUCGCCGUCGCCCUCGCCGUCGCCGUCACCGUUGCCUUGCUGUGCUCGCAGGGUAUUCGAAUCCGGCCCGUCUCCUCUGCCUCCGUGCGAGCCCGGGAAGCGAUCGAUCGAGGAUCCAUUCAUCUAUCUGGUUUGCGAAUCUGUCUCAGGAACUCUUUUCUGUGUGUCCACUUCUGUUUGCAGGCGUGGAUCCUGUGUUCCUGGAUCCGCGCGCGUUGGUUGCAGGAUCGUCGUGCCCUGUUUUUGGAAUUGGAGCUCUGAUUGCGGAGCCGAAGGCCGACGCAAGAUUCCAGAUUUCAAAUCAAAUGGAUAUGGCCCGUGUCGUCUUCUGGUCCAUUAUUCCGCCAAAUCAUUCGUUAGUACGAGGUGGAUUAAUUCGAGGCCCUCAUGGAUUUGGUGGAGGUUUGAUUCCUGCUCAUGGUUGUUUUCAUUGAUUCGUUGGUUCCGGUUCAGCGGUUAUUUUUUCUGAUGAUGUGGUCAGCUCUUCUCGGGUGAUGAAGCUUAGGAUUUCUCUUACCAACCUGAACCUGCCAUCUGCGUUUGCAUUUAUAAAUACUAAAUCCCUCAAAAUUUUAGUUUCUUGGUCUGCAUAUAUACUAGUCAACGGCAAUUCUGAUCUGAAUUCGUUGCUUCUCCAGAAAUUAUAAAUUGGAUUACACGGCAAAGCGGGAGCCGGGAGCAACAUCUGCGUUUGGAUGAUUAAUUACCCCCUCCAUUUAAUUCCUUCAUCUACACGGUUCAAUCUUAGUCGGUUCUGAUUUAGAUUUGUUGAUGGUUGUCCAGAAAUUGGGAUUAUACGGCUUACCGGGAGCGACUUGUCAUUCUUCCUCACCUGUGUCUGGAUGAUCAUUCUCUCUCUGUUUAUUUCCUUUCCUCCACAGUUCAAUUAGUCUGCACACAAUUCUGAUUUGGAUUUGUUGCUCGUACUCCAGAAAAUUGGAAUUAUACAGCUUAGCGAGUGGUCCUCUUUUCCCUCGGCAUGGCGGUUCCUUUUCUGUGGCUCAACAGUAUUUCUUACUCAAGAUUAUUAUUAGAAAACACCAGACAAGUUUCCUCUGCCUUAGUUUGUCAAUUCUUAGCUCUUGCAGACAUCGUCUUGGAAGGGAUAUAAUUGGAACCGGUGCUGUCUACCUGACCUUCCCAGACAAGACUUUUCUUAUAACUUUUAAAAGUAUCUUGCUCGUUGCAGGUUUGAGGAAUGCAAAGUCCAAUCAUUACUUAGAUAAUCUUUAAGAUCUUCUCACUAGGCAAUAUUUUAAAUUCAGAUUUAUCUGGGAAGGUGCAAGAAUGGAGCUUCAAACUUGGCAAAUCCUACAAUAAAAAAGAGACUCCUCCAUUUUAACUUUGCCUCUUAUUUUUAUAUCACGUAGCUACUUGUUCAUGCCUUUGAUUUAGGCUUUUUUGCUUCUCCCCCCCUGUGAUUGCAGAUUUAUUUUAGCCCAGAGCGUGCUGGUAGCGAGUCGAAAUCUAUUAAAAUCAUUUGGUUUGCAAUCUAUCUCUAUAUGGGUCGAUUUGUUCUCUGUACUCUUAUCCUGUAGGAAGUUUGGGCCUAUGGGCAAAUCUCUGUACAAUGAGUCAGGUCAGUGUUGUAUCAACGGUUUGUUUGGUUUAUUUGUUUGCCUCCCUCCACACAUUGGUUGCAGGACUGGAUCUGGAAUGUGGAGAUCCCUGUGGUGUUGUAUGUCGAAGGGGAUUGAGGCAGGUCAGAUUUGAAUCGUGCGGUCAUGUGGUUGUAGCAGCUGAUCGUUUGGUGUGUGUUUGUGCUCCUUUGCUUGCAGCAGGAGGGUAGUAGUUCUGCACAGAUGAAUCAUAGGGUGGAGAUUUGGUCUCUGUUCAUCAUUUUGAUUGAUUGGAUUAUGAAGCUUUGGAUCUCUUACCAACCUGAACUUCGGAUCUGCGUUUGGAUAAUAAAUUCCGCCCCGGUUCAAUUUAUUUGGUUUGCAAAAUACAAUUUAGUCCUUGGCAGUUCUGAUCUGUAUUCGUUUGUGGUUUUCCAGAGAUGGGGUUAAUUGGUGGAGAUUUGGUUUCUGUUCAUCAUUUUGAUUGAUUGGAUUGGAACCUGGAACUUGCGAUCUGCGUUUGGUUAAUGAAUUCUGUCCAGAUUCAAUUUAUUUGGUUUGCACAGUACAAUUAGUCCUUGGCAGUUCUGAUCUGUAUUUGUUUGUGGUUUUCCAGAAAUUGGGCUUAAUAAGGUUUAGCAGGAGCAACCUAUCUUCUUGUUGAUCUGUGUUUGGAUGAUUCUGAACCCCUCUAUUUAAUUGCUUCUCCACAAUUCAAUUUUAGUCCCUGACAAUUCUGAUUUGGAUCUGUUGCUGGUUGUCCAGAAAUUGGGAUUAUAUGGCUUAGCGGGAGUGACCUAUCUUCUUGCUGACCUGCGUUUGGAUGAUCAUUACUCUCUGCUUAAUUUCUUCUCCACAGCUCAAUUAGUUAUCCGACAAUUCUGAUUUAGAUUUGUUGCUGGUUCUCCAGAAAUUGGACAUAUAUGGCUUAGCGGGUGAACCUAUGUUUCCUCAGCAUGGCGGUUCUUUCUGUGGCCCAAACAUAUCUGACCUUUUGUCCUCCCUUGAUUAUUGAACUUCCUAGAGAUUACUUUCUUUGCCUUAGUUGGUAAUUCUUAGCUCCUGCAGAUGCUGGCCUGGAAGCGAAAUAAUUGGAACCAGUGUUGUCUAUCUGACCUUCGCGGCCGAGACAGGCUUACUUACACUUUACCUCUUAACCUUAACAUUUGAUGCAUGCUUUAGCUGAGCCUAGUUUUCCUGUUAACUUAUAGAAAGGUAUCUUCCUCGUCGCAGGUCGUAGUUGAUGAACUCAAGUCCAACCUGGUGCUGAGUUGAAUCUGUUUGCAGUUCUUCUAAAUCUACUAUUUUCUCAAGUCAUCAUAACUUAGACAACCUUUAAAAUUAUCUUACCAGGAAAUAUUUUGAAUACAGAUCUGCAAAGGUUCAACAAUGGAGAUUCAAACUAAUGGAACAUCCUACAAUGAAAAGACUAUAUUUAACCCACCUCUUAUUUUUUGUUUCACGUAGCUACUUGUUUAUGCCUUUAAUUUAGGUUUUUCCUUCUACCCUCCCUUUGGUUGCAGAUUAAGCCCAAACCAUGCUGGUAGUGAGUCGGAAUCUGUUAAAAUCGUUUGGUUUGCGAUCUCUCUCUAUCUCUCUCUGGAUCGAUUUGUUUUUUGUACUCUUGAUCCCCGUGCUGGUCUUCUGCGCGUAUCAGUUGCAGGAUAUAUUUAGGGAGUCUGGGCCUAUGUGCAGGAUAUAUUUGGAUAUGUUGGUGGUUCUCCAGAAAUUGGAAUUAUAUGGCUUAGCGGGAGCGACGCAUCUUGCUGCUCUACGUUUGGAUAAUUAUCACUCCCUCUGUUUUACUCUUUUCGUCUCCACUGUUCUGUUUUGGUUUCCCACAAUUCUGAUUUAAACUAUUUCUUGGUGGCUCCAGAAAUUGGAAUAAUAUGGAUUAGAAGGCGGUCCUAUUUUGCCUCGGCAUGGCAGUUCCUUCUGUGGCUAAAACUUUUUCAACCUUUUUUACUCUAUAAUUGAACUCUCUAGACAUUAGGUUUUCAUUGCCUUAGUACUUAUCAGCUCUUGCAGAUACUGACUUGGAAAUGAUAUAACUGCAGUUUGGAACCGGCGUUGUUGUCCUCCAUCAUCCAUACCUGACUCUAGACAGGCUUUACUUGUUCCCACUCAUCGUUUCAUCCAUGCUUUAGCUAUUUAUAAGCAGCAUUUCCCCUAACAUUUCUUUAUAGAAACGGUCUCUUGCUCGCUGCAGGUUGUAGUUGACAAACUCCUGUCCAGCCUGAUGAUGAAUCCGUCUACUGAUCUUCGAAAUCCACAGUGUCGUUUCAAUUCAUUGCAACUUACAUAACCUAUAAAUUAUCUUACUAGACAAUAUUUUAAAUACAGAUUCAUAUGCAGCACGAAUAUAUAGGAUGAUCCAGAGCUUUCAACUAAUGGCACAUCCUACAACCGAAAAAGACUCUUACCUUCCUUUUUUUAAUUUCAUUUAGUUACUUGGCCAUCUCUCUGAUAUAGGUUUUUGCCCCUGCCCUUCCUAUGGUUGCAGAUUUUUCUUUAGCCCAGGCCAUGUGGGCAAUGACUAAACUCUUGAUCCCUGUGUUUUAUUGGUAUUCUGCGUGUGUGGGUUGGCAAUAUAUAAUUGUUAUUAGGAGUUUGGGCCCAAACCUUUGCUCUGUACAUGGAGUCAGGUCAGUGUCUCGUAGACGGUCUGUUUGUUUCAUUUGUUAUCGCCGCCUCUACAAUUUGGCUUGCAGGACUGGAUCUUGAUCUGGUCGGGAAGUAAAGCUCCAUGUGGGUUGUGAACGUAUGGUGAAGGGGACUCGAGGCAGGUCAGUUUCCCAUGUUUCGUCACAUUGGUUUACUGGAUUCCUCAUCUGUGCUUGGUGACGUCAGAUUUGAGUGGCUAUACAUUCUUCGAUUUAUGUUCGUCUGAUGGCUGUUUGGGAUCUUCGUUCGGAAUCUUCUUCAACCACAAAAACUUGCACCUGGACUUCAUGCCUGUUUCAACUGAUUUACCAGAUUUCACUAUGGUCUGACUUUCCUUGAAGAAACUUUAAGUAUGCUGAUUAUAUUUGGGCCGUUCAUUGAUUUGCAUUGUUGGAGGUUUUAUUGCAAGAUUGUAGAGUUGGAUAGUCAGUUAGCGCGGGGACUUGGUGAAGCAAAUGGACUCCCUUGAUGGUUUUGACUUCUGAUUAGUGAUCCUGAAGCAUGAUGGUUUUUGUGGUAGUUUUCAGUUUGAACUUGCAUUCAGUGGCCUCAUAUCUUUGGUGCAGCUUGGAGCUGGUAGUGUGCACAUCUGAUUCUUUCAACUGUCCUGAAUCAUCUUACUUCGUUUCUGCUGUGCCACCUUACUGGUUACGGUAUCUUCUUCAACUUGCAUGUGGUUUGGAUGGAAUAUGAUCUCAUCUUUUGCUCGAAUCAAGAAAAUGCUAGAAGUCUCAAACAAGGGUCCAGAAUGGAAAUAUCAGUUCGUACUCAGUUUGUGUAGCAGAUUAUCAAAGUUUGAUUUGGCUAUUAAUUACCGGGUUACCAUACUGUUUCAGGAAGUUUGGUUUUGAUAUUUGGCUGCUUGUAUCUUUCAACUUGCAAAUUUAUCACCUAAUAGGAAGUAAAGAUCGCAUGUACAUGAGCUCUAAAUGCAGUAAAAAUGUUAAGCAUAUUAUAUGAAUAUAUGAAUUGGUUAUACUUGGA
This is a long non-coding RNA of Triticum aestivum (bread wheat), 5559 nucleotides long. RefSeq lists it as uncharacterized. The transcript is spliced from 2 exons. The record is from RefSeq and is a predicted model, not a curated record. Lineage: Eukaryota; Viridiplantae; Streptophyta; Magnoliopsida; Poales; Poaceae.